GAUGAACGCUGGCGGCGUGCCUAAUACAUGCAAGUCGAGCGAACAGACGAGGCGCUUGCUCCUCUGACGUUAGCGGCGGACGGGUGAGUAACACGUGGAUAACCUACCUAUAAGACUGGGAUAACUUCGGGAAACCGGAGCUAAUACCGGAUAAUAUAUUGAACCGCAUGGUUCAAUAGUGAAAGACGGUUUUGCUGUCACUUAUAGAUGGAUCCGCGCCGCAUUAGCUAGUUGGUAAGGUAACGGCUUACCAAGGCGACGAUGCGUAGCCGACCUGAGAGGGGGAUCGGCGACACGAGAGCGGGAACAGGGUCAAGGCUACUACGGUAGGCGGCAGAAGGGAAUGUGCCGCAAUAGGCGAAAGCCUUACGGAGCAACGCCGCGUGAGUGAUGGAGGUCUUCGGAUCGUAAAACUCUGUUAUUAGGGGAAAACAAAUGUGUAAGUAACUAUGCACGUCGUGACGGUACCUAAUCAGAAAGCCACGGCUAACUACGUG
RNAcentral lists this ribosomal RNA (497 nucleotides) under uncultured bacterium. Its description in RNAcentral is "partial 16S ribosomal RNA". It matches the Rfam family "Bacterial small subunit ribosomal RNA", at positions 28 to 507 of the family's 1533-position model. The record is from RNAcentral.